This 74-nucleotide microRNA precursor is filed under the name Ornithorhynchus anatinus (platypus). RNAcentral describes it as "mir-1421 microRNA precursor family". It matches the Rfam family "mir-1421 microRNA precursor family". Lineage: Eukaryota; Metazoa; Chordata; Mammalia; Monotremata; Ornithorhynchidae. The record is from Rfam by way of RNAcentral.
CGGUGUGUGAAUGUCCCACGUCAUGCUGUGUGGUGGUAGAACGUGUUACAUAGUGUGUGACCUUCCUAUACAGC